This is a long non-coding RNA of Anas platyrhynchos (mallard), 4419 nucleotides long. RefSeq lists it as uncharacterized. Lineage: Eukaryota; Metazoa; Chordata; Aves; Anseriformes; Anatidae. The record is from RefSeq and is a predicted model, not a curated record.
CAUUAGGCCAUCCAGCCCUUUGAGUGAGCACUCACCGAUGGAGGAAAGAUGGGGGAAACAUCCUGGUCUGGCACAUGAUUUGGCGACAUCACUUUAUCAUCACAGAACAGAUUCUGCAGGCUCAGGUGGAGAUAAAUUUUUAAAUGGAGAGAAAGACGGUAGCAAGCACUUGUUUAAAUCUCAGUGACUUCAGAUGAAAUGUAUACUCAAUUAACGCAAGAAUCCUUACCUGAGCUAGGACCUGAAGGGGGAAAUGAAGCUUAAGAAGACACAGGCAGCUAGAGAGCACUUCUGGUCAAGAAUAAAUAAGAAGUGGCCUGAAUCAGCAGCACAAAUAUGUGGACCCCUUCUGGAAGAGCUGUCUCACACUUAGCAUACACCAAAGGAGAUGAGCGAUGUUGCCAGCACGUAGGCUCUUCUGCAUUAGCUGAAGAGGACAGAGGAACCCUUAGGAUACCCAGGUGUACACCCAUUUACAAACUGGGCAACCACAAAGGACCGAGGGCCAUCUCAUGGGUCUGAGGAAUUUGCUCAUGGAAAUUCAUUUUGCUCAUGCUUUCUGUGAAAUUUCUGGCAGUUACGGAGGAGAGGAUCCUUUAGAUCUGCAUCUCCUGGUUAUGGAGGAAAGGGGAAAUGGAGUCCUGCUUGUGACAUAUCGGUGUGUCUGAAAAAUUAAAACUUGGUCUGGGUUUCAGUAUGUCUAUCUAACUGUAGGAUAAAUGCCAGAAGAUGGACCUGGAAACUUUGUCUAUGUACUCUUAUUUAAUAUUUAGAGUCUAAUUGUGAUGGAUAUUUUGCAAGCUAUUAAUUGUGAUUGGAAAAUCAUCUCUCUCAUAGCAUCUGAAAACACAACAGAUGGUGAUAUUCCAAGUAGCACUGAGAAAGGGCUAAGUUUACUAAAACACCUUUCAAGGCCCAGAGUACUAAAUAUCUGAAAACAGACUGAACUCCUCCUCACUUGUAUGAUUCAGACACUAGAGCAGAAGGCAGAAGGACAUCUGUCUAAUAUUGUUAGCAUUGUUAGUAGCAAAGCAACACAGGUCAUGUCUUUGCUGUACUGGAAGAAAAAGAAAUUACUUAUUAAUCAGGAAGUUAGUCCUUUGCCAGAAGACAACAUUAGAUUAUUAUGUCCAACCUUCUGUGUAUCACAGAACUUCAAAUUUCCCCUGGAUUUCUUGUGAUGAACUUAGCUUGACUAAAGAAAAGCUUCCAAAAGUUACCCACUCUUGAUUUGUUUAAUUUCCUUUACUAUUUAAACCUUUUGGGUACUUUUCAGCUAAGUUUACAGCCCUGGAGGACAAUUUCAGAAGAAAUAUUAGGACCUCCAUUUUGGUGGAAUGUUGUAAUUGUAUAAACUGAUGGUAAAGGACUAAAACACUCAAACAGAAGCCUGCCUAAUAAAUAGUAAUUUGUAUCUUUCAUAUUAACUCCUGUAAGGCACCGUUUUUAAGUAGGUAUUGACUUGAAUUCAGUUAAUACUAUAUAUAUAUUUUUUUGAAGUGGUUUACCAGUGAAAUGAAGAGCCACAAAAGGCAGGAGAGGAGGAAGAACAUAAAUCUUUACAUUAAUUGUUGUUUUUCUCUUCCAUUAUAUUAUUGUCAAAACUUGAGAUGCAGAAUGUAGAAACAACUUUUAAGCAUAUCAAAUACUCCUCUGUUAAGGUCAGUAAACUAUAUUUUAAAAAUAUCUACCUUUUUUUCUUUCCUUCCUUCCUUUCUAAAUUGUGACAAAAUUAUUCUUCCUAUCACUUUAAUGGCAUCAUGUAAAAGGCAGCUUUACAGACUGCUCUGGUUCUGCAUCAUUGGUGCAUCUCCUUUCAGCAAAGAGCUUACACGUGAGCUUAUCUUUAGGUAUUUGUAAUUUCCACUUGAGCUCAAUGGAAUUUAAGAUCAUGAAGAAACUUUAAUGCUUUGCUGAGUGGGAAUACAUUUUAGUAUAUGCUUAAGUAUUUUUCUCAAGAGGCUUACCCAUGCAUAAGACUUCUUAAAAGGCCCUUCUGAGUUAAAAAUACCUGAAGUUCUUUCUAAUGAGGAAGUAUAGAAUUCUGUUCAAGAUAAUCAAGACUCAUGCCAUCACUUAUUUUAAAAUUCUUAUUAGGAAUGAAUAAAAAAGGGUUAUAGUUGAUCAAAUAAGCACAGGUUAAAGAUAAAAACAGAGAAGGAUUAUAGUAGAGUGGAAAUGCAUAAGCAUCCCUUACUGAACUUCUUUUAUAACCUUUCCUUAACUAUACCACAUUUAUCUAUAAGCUCUUUAAGGCAGGAAUUCAUCAUUCUGCAUAUAUAUGAGAAGCCUAACAUGGUUCAGGGUGUAUUUUAAUAUUUAAUAACAAAUCAUUUUCUUUGGGUAUUAUAGAGUUUAUUGCUGUAAUACUGUUUUGCUAUUUAUUAAAUACCUGAACAAUACAAUAGACAGAGAGACAUGGGCAAUUAUUCAUAAUAUUUUCCAAAGAUCUAAAACAUACUUCUGUGGUUUUUGGAAAGUAUUUCUGAGGCUUCCCAGAUAGUACAUGAUUGUAACAGAAUAUUAACACAUGAUGGGGCAUGUUUCAGAGGUUCAUUAAUACAUGCUGUAGAUGUGCAGCUUCAUGCAUUCAGCCACCUGAGGCAUGUAUUAAUGGACCAUUAAAACAUGCCCAGGAGUGUCUUAAUGCUAUUACAGUAUGGCUCUGCAAUUUUUAAUUCAACUUUUUAUAAAACAAUUAUUUUCAAAAAUGCAAUUUUUAAUGUACUCUGAAACCUCUCUUCAAUUCAGAAAAGACAGGGGAAGGGGUGCGGGAUGUGACAUUAGACUAAGAAAGCAACAGGACAUGGAUAUAAAUACUUUUUUUUUUCUUUUUUUACCAUUUUAAUAUAUUUGCUUUUGAUUUUAUAUUGUAUUGUAUAAAUAGCAUAGUCCUAAGGCCUGAUUCACGUUUUUGCUGACCUACCUUUCCACUGCUCAGGAAGUGUAAGAGAGUCUUAAAGUGCCAUAAAUGUAAAUCACACUCCCAGACUACUUAGCUCAAUUGCUAAUUUCAAUAGACAUUUCUAGGUUUCUAGGUGAGUAAGACUUUUCAACAGCUUUGGACUUCUGUUGAGGAAAAAGCAAAACUAGAAAUCCAAGCAGUUUGCCAAAUAACUUUUGCUGUAGAAAGUUAAGACUAGGAAAGGGAAAAGUCGUUCUACCAUGGGUGGUCAAUCUGCUCAUAACUUCAGUUAAAUGUUAUUGCUGACCACGUCAGUUUCACAAACCAAAUCUCAACUGAAUUAAUUCUAAAAUAAUCAGUUAUCCUUUGGAACUGUUAUUAUUGUUAUACACCAAUAAUACAAAUACUAUUAUAUUUAUUAUGAUAGUACAAUGAACAAUCCAUGAUUUGAUACUAAACAUUGUGUAAGAACAUAGAGCAAGCUGUGGAGCAAAGCAUAUUCUCCCAUGUCACCCUCCACAUCCUUUCUAAGUUUGGAGCAACAUUAAGAUCUUAGAUGUACUUGAACCUAACUAGAGAAAAGUCCGUUAAUUAUCUGCUUUAAAAGACUGUAGGUCACCCUUCAAAAAAUUCACCAUCUGCCCCCCCAAAAAAUAUUAUUUCAGGUCAAUUUUAAAUGAAGGCAAAAUCCAAAUGCAAUAUCAUGUAUUUAUUACUGCAUGCCACCUCAUUAACAAAAGCAAGCAUCAUGUUGAAAUGGAGUACUGCAAAAAAUUGUUCAGAAAAGAUUGUAGCUAUGUAACAAAGCAUUUUUUUAUACUUCUUGCUAAAAACUAUCUAAGGAAAUUUUUUUCUCUUUCUGAAUUAGUUUUCUGACAGAAAAAGUUGCAGUGAAGCUCUCCAUAUUUAGAUUAGUGUAGCUUAGGGCUGUGUAUUAAUCAUCAUUAUCAUAAUAAUAGCAUUACACCAUUAUUACAUAUUACUCCUCCUCUGAAGUAUAUAAGUACAGUGCACUAUAAUUUGCAAAUAGUAGCACUGCUGGAGCUGCACUUUUCAUUCGCAGUGCUGGAGGAGGAACAUCAGAACAAUGCCAGAUUUAACUGGAGCAUCACCACCUCAGACUACGAACUCAACAGCCUUAAAUCCUCCACGCUCAUCAGGCAGAAGGUCCAAAACGAUACAUGGCUGAAUCCUUCACUGGAUAUUGAUUGCAUGGAUCUGGGACUGCUUUUUGUUUUUUCCCGUUUCUGUGAGAGCUAUGGUGCUUAUCAGUCUUGGAACAGGAAGAUCUGUGCGAGAGACGUAGUAUGAUAACCUAAAGCUUUAUAACAACUGGUGGGAUAUGAGAGCCUCUCUUCUCCUUUCCUUCACCAUGCCAAUUUCAAGUGUGGGGAGUUUUUUAAUAAUUUUUUUUUUGAAAGGAAAAAGAAUGGAUGGGUGUUGGGGGUGCUUGGCUUUUCAGAGGGAGCAUGGUAGAGGGAUUUGACUGGAUGCACUAAGUUCUUAUGCUUGAA